Long non-coding RNA from Alligator mississippiensis (American alligator), 2888 nucleotides. RefSeq lists it as uncharacterized. Lineage: Eukaryota; Metazoa; Chordata; Crocodylia; Alligatoridae. The transcript is spliced from 2 exons. The record is from RefSeq and is a predicted model, not a curated record.
CCCUCCCCAAAUACAGCCUCGCCACGACGGGGAAGGCUCCUGCCUGGCCGGGGUCCCGCCGAAGCCGGGCAAUCGUCUCACGUCCCAAGCGCUGGUGCCAUCGGGGGCCGCGGCUCCCGCUUCCCCGCCCCGAGCGGCACCGGGGCUGGGCCGGGCCGGGCCGGGCCGGGCCGGGGGUCCCUGCUCGCACCCCUCGGGGCCGCCCUGCAGUCGGGGUCGCCCCCCUCGGGGCCCCUGGGUGGGCACGGCCCGCGGCCGGACCCCGCCUGCUCCUGCGGGUCGUGUCCGGCCCGGCCCGAGCCCUUCCCUGGCACGGAGAGGCGGGAGGCGGGAGGCCGGGGCCGGCCCAGGCGGGUCCUGCUCUGCAAGGUCCUGCUCGCCCGCCUCCAGCGCCGGGCACUUCAGCGAGGACUGCGUCCGGGACCGGAACCAGGAGCCUCUGGUACCACAGCCAGGAUCAUGCCGGAGCCCCAGCUGCACCCCGUGUCCGCUCCCGGGGCCGGCGGAGAAGACGGUGCCUUGUGGUGGCGGCAGUUGUCAAGUCCGGACCAGGGGGCUGGAUGAGCCUGGAAUUGGCGGCUUAUUCCCAGUUCUUUUUUCAAAGCGAAUCUAGACCCAAUAAAAGCUUGUUCUUAAUGAAUUGCACAUCCUAAAGAGCGAGAAUUUCAUUAGCUAGGCAUAUGUAUUAAUUAAUAUGUAAAAUAAUAUCCUACAUCAAGUACAGAGCCCUAAAGGAAGGUGAGAUUGGGAUGGGAUGAUGGGGCUCACACACACGCCAGCACCACCACCAGUGGAUUCAAGAAAUAGCUUGACUCGUGACUCACCCAGCAGUGCCGGAUCACACACCCAGCUCCAACUGCAGGCGCUGCGCUCGGACUGUCUGCAUCCCCCUCCACGUCCCUGCCGCCUGCCUGGGAAAGAGAGCGGCAUGGGCCUCAGGCGUCAUCUGAACAUCAGACUCCAGAUGUGAGCUCUCCGGUGCCAAACAGAAAGCAGGCGAGGUUCUUUGAGUAGAUGUAAGCUCUUUUAUUAGACCCGCUGAGUAGUUGGGAAAAAGUUCUUGGCAAACUUUCUGGCGCAGUCACCCUUCAUCUGGCAAAGGGACUCUAUUGUUCUGAGACUCCAAGAAAUGAGAGAAGCUAAAAGCAUGACAGGAUCUCACUGAGAUGUAAAUAGGUAGAGAUUAGAAAGACAAACAGUAAAGCAGAGGGGAAGAAAGCAGGGGAAAAGGCUAAAUAGAAGGGCAGAAUCACUUCCUCCGAUCUGCUGGCAGCGCUCCUACCAAUGCAGCCCAGGAUGCCGUUAGCUUUCUUCACAACGCGGACGCACUGCCGGCUCCUGUUCAGCUUCUUGUGCCCUGUCCCCCCAGGGCCUUGUCUGCAGAGCUGCUGCCCAGCCCGUCACCCCAGCCUGCACGGGUGCAGGGGAUUGCUCCCGCCUCAGUGCAGGACUUUGCACUUGUCCUUGUUGAACCUCGCGAGAUUUCUUUUGGUCCAGUCCUCCAAUCUGUCGAGCCCUGCCCUCCAGGGCAUCUCCUGCUCCCCCCAGCUUGGUGUCAUCUGCAAACUUUCUGGGGUGUACCCCCCCCCAUCUUCCAGGUCCCUGAUGGAGACACUGAACAACAGCAGCCCCAGGACUGACUCCAGCAGGCCCAGAGCAGACAGCAGCUUUUGUGGCAAGUCCAUCAGUUCAGAGCUCCUCUUGGCUUUGAAGCUGAAGGGCAAGGACAUACAGAGACUUUCAGAGGCACACGCCACCCUUUGGGCCAAAGUCCCAGGGACUUUCAGUGGGAACACAGUGCCAGUUACACUUGCUUUAAAAGUCUCCCUUGGUUGCGGUGCCUGUGGGCGCUAUGGGGCUGGUUCCCAUGCACCGCAUUGAUGUGCUGGGCCUCAUUGCUGGCGGGGCACUCACCAUGGGGUUUGGCAGGGCUUUCCAAACAGCACCUACUUGCCCACCGACCACCCCACCCCUCACACCCCAGAGCUCAGCACAGGUCUCCCCCAGCAGUUCAGCCAGGGAAGGACACGGGUGUCCCCUGGACCACAUGCUGGAGACACGGCAGCUCCCCCCAUCCCAGCUUGGCUCCAUCAGACUCCAGCCUUGGGGCACAGACUGCUUCUACCCCAGCUGCCCGCGGCCCCUGGGAGCUAGGCUGGUCGCCAGCCCCCACUGAGCUGCACAACAUCACGGCCGGCCCCUUCUUCCAGGAAUCCCCUGACGCCGCACGAAUGCUCUGCUCCGGGCUGCUCAACCUUCUGGUGCGGCAGGCUGGAGGAGUGGUGCGAGACCUGUGUGCAGGCUGGAUCGGACCCCGUGCACCAGGAUGGGGCUCCCCGCUGCCUCCACUCAGCCUGCCACUGGAUGGGGCCCCACACCACCUUCCUCGCCCCCAACACAGGACUGGGCCCCUCACUUGAAACCGGCUACACUUUGAAAGAUGAAACUUGCAGCAAGAACCAAAGAAAAAAAAAACCCCAAACAAAAAUAAAAAUUAAAAAAAGGAGGGAGGUCCCUGACGACCAGAAUGGGCUUUGGCACUUUGUUUAAGUGUCACAUUUUAAAUUUCAUUGCAGAACAACAAGAAAGAUUUUUAACCCUCCCUGCCUGCCCCCUGCCACGUCCAGGGGAGGAAUCCUACCUGGUCUGCACAAGGAGCAACUGAGAACAACUCCCAGAGUCACUCUCGUGCACCCAGAGGGACGGGCUUCCAUCUCCAGCUCCCUCCGUGCAAAAAUCACACUCCUUUCCUACCUAUGGGGACUAUGUACCAGCUUCCAUUUCCCCUGAGCCUGAGGAAGGGCCUUUGACCUCGAAAGCUUGCAGAAAAAGAUCUUUUUUUUUUUUGCCACUUCCUAGUUGGUCUAAUAAAAGCUAUCAUUUCUGAA